This 467-nucleotide ribosomal RNA is filed under the name uncultured bacterium. RNAcentral describes it as "partial 16S ribosomal RNA". It matches the Rfam family "Bacterial small subunit ribosomal RNA", at positions 28 to 507 of the family's 1533-position model. The record is from RNAcentral.
GACGAACGCUGGCGGCGUGCUUAACACAUGCAAGUCGAACGGAAAGGCCUCUUUCGGGGGGUACUCGAGUGGCGAACGGGUGAGUAACACGUGAGUAACCUGCCCUUGACUUUGGGAUAACUUCAGGAAACUGGGGCUAAUACCGGAUAGGAGCUCCUGCUGCAUGGUGGGGGUUGGAAAGUUUCGGCGGGUGGGGAUGGACUCGCGGCUUAUCAGCUUGUUGGUGGGGUAGUGGCUUACCAAGGCGUUGACGGGUAGCCGGCCUGAGAGGGUGACCGGCCACAUUGGGACUGAGAUACGGCCCAGACUCCUACGGGAGGCAGCAGGGGGGAAGAUUGCACAAUGGGUGGAAGCCGGAUGCAGCAACGCCGUGUGCGGGAUGACGGCCUUCGGGUUGUAAACCGCUUUCGCUCAUGACGAAGCUUUGUGUGACGGUAGUGGGUAAAGAAGCACCGGCUAACUACGUG